RNAcentral lists this ribosomal RNA (717 nucleotides) under Triticum aestivum (bread wheat). Its description in RNAcentral is "partial small subunit ribosomal RNA". Lineage: Eukaryota; Viridiplantae; Streptophyta; Magnoliopsida; Poales; Poaceae. The record is from RNAcentral.
AUGUCAUUUCGAGUACUUAUGUGGAACGUUAGGGGGCUGAAUAACCCGGCCAGGCGCAACUCAAUCUGUCUAUUUAUGUAGUCCUGUGAUGUGUCGUUGGUUUGCUUCCAAGAAUCUAAGCUGAAUGUAGUUGAUCCAAUGGUGAUGAAUCAGACGCUUGGUCCAGAGUUUGAUGGGUUUGAGUCUUUGCCAGUGGAAGGCACCAGAGGGGGAAUUCUGUUAGCUUGGAGAUCAGACCGUCUGAAGAUCACAAAUGUUCAGAAGCUGGAGUUCUCUAUUUCGGCGACCAUAACUUCUCUGGCUGAUGGCAAAACCUGGCUGGUCACGUCGGUCUAUGGCCCGCAAGAGGAUGGUGACAAGGUGCAGUUUUUGGAGGGGAUUGAGCAGCACGGGGAGCAGGUGCAGCUUCCAUGGAUUCUUAAUGGAGAUUUCAACAUAGUCACGCAUGAGGAUGAGCGCAGCACAGGGCGAGCAAACAGAAGACCGAUGAACAAGUUCAGACACACAAUCAACAAGCUGGGUCUGCAUGACAUGCCUCUGGUAGGAAGGAAGUUCACAUGGUGUAAUGGGCAGGAGAGGUCCAUUAUGGCCAGACUCGAUAGAGUUCUGUUUAACAAUGACUGGGAAGACCCGUAUCCAAUCAGCGAUCUACUACUCUUGAGUUCUAAUGUUAAACCAUUGUCCAAUGCUUCUAUCAUGUUCCUCAGACAUACCUAG